ACUACAUCACGUUGAAACACCAGUUCUCGUACGAUCACCGAAGUUAAGCAACGUCCAGCCUGGUUAGUAUCUAGAUGAGUGACCGCUUGGGAAUCUGAGGUGUCGUAAU
This 109-nucleotide ribosomal RNA is filed under the name Acanthosepion pharaonis. The record is from RNAcentral. Lineage: Eukaryota; Metazoa; Mollusca; Cephalopoda; Sepiida; Sepiidae.